RNAcentral lists this ribosomal RNA (254 nucleotides) under uncultured bacterium. RNAcentral's name for it is "partial 16S ribosomal RNA". It matches the Rfam family "Bacterial small subunit ribosomal RNA", at positions 524 to 776 of the family's 1533-position model. The record is from RNAcentral.
UACGAAGGGGGGCUAGCGUUGUUCGGAUUUACUGGGCGUAAAGCGCACGUAGGCGGCGGGGUAAGUCGGGUGUGAAAUCUCAGAGCUCAACUCUGAAACUGCACUCGAUACUGCUCUGCUUGAGGACUGGAGAGGAGACUGGAAUUCCCAGUGUAGCGGUGAAAUGCGUAGAUAUUGGGAGGAACACCAGUGGCGAAGGCGGCUCACUGGACUGGUACUGACGCUGAUGCGCGAAAGCGUGGGGAGCAAACAGG